Molecule: ribosomal RNA, 405 nt
Filed under: uncultured bacterium
Lineage: Bacteria
Also listed under: 1 other name
Description: partial 16S ribosomal RNA
Rfam family: Bacterial small subunit ribosomal RNA
Source: RNAcentral
UGGGGAAUCUUCCGCAAUGGACGAAAGUCUGACGGAGCAACGCCGCGUGAGGGAUGAAGGCCUUCGGGUUGUAAACCUCUGUCUUCAGGGAAGAAAAAAAUGACGGUACCUGAGGAGGAAGCCCCGGCUAACUACGUGCCAGCAGCCGCGGUAAUACGUAGGGGGCGAGCGUUAUCCGGAAUCAUUGGGCGUAAAGGGCGCGUAGGCGGAUAUUUAAGUCAGGUGUGAAAACCCAGGGCUCAACCUUGGGAUUGCAUCUGAUACUGGGUAUCUUGAGGACAGGAGAGGAAAGUGGAAUUCCUAGUGUAGCGGUGAAAUGCGUAGAUAUUAGGAGGAACACCAGUGGCGAAGGCGACUUUCUGGACUGUAACUGACGCUGAGGCGCGAAAGCGUGGGGAGCAAACA